GGGGGUUCUGUUUGAUGUGAAGCCCCCGGGCUCAACCGGGGAGGGUCAUUGGAAACUGGGAGACUUGAGUGCAGAAGAGGAGAGUGGAAUUCCAUGUGUAGCGGUGAAAUGCGUAGAUAUAUGGAGGAACACCAGUGGCGAAGGCGGCUCUCUGGUCUGUAACUGACGCUGAGGCUCGAAAGCGUGGGGAGCAAACAGGAUUAGAUACCCUGGUAGUCCACGCCGUAAACGAUGAGUGCUAAGUGUUGGAGGGUUUCCGCCCUUCAGUGCUGCAGCUAACGCAUUAAGCACUCCGCCUGGGGAGUACGACCGCAAGGUUGAAACUCAAAGGAAUUGACGGGGGCCCCACAACGGUGGAGCAUGUGGUUUAAUUCAAGCAACGCGAAGAACCUUACCAGGUCUUGACAUCCUUUGACCACUCUAGAGAUAGAGCUUCCCCUUCGGGGGCAAAGUGACAGGUGGUGCAUGGUUGUCGUCAGCUCGUGUCGUGAGAUGUUGGUUAAUCCCCAACACGCAACCCUUAUUGUUAGUUGCCAUCAUUUAUUGGGCACUCUACCAAGACUGCGGGACAACCGAGGAAGGUGGGGAUGACGUCAAAUCAAUCUCCCCUUA
This 612-nucleotide ribosomal RNA is filed under the name Lactobacillales bacterium QMA-13. Its description in RNAcentral is "bacterial SSU rRNA". It matches the Rfam family "Bacterial small subunit ribosomal RNA", at positions 574 to 1204 of the family's 1533-position model. Lineage: Bacteria; Bacillati; Bacillota; Bacilli; Lactobacillales. The record is from RNAcentral.